RNAcentral lists this ribosomal RNA (253 nucleotides) under uncultured bacterium. RNAcentral describes it as "partial 16S ribosomal RNA". It matches the Rfam family "Bacterial small subunit ribosomal RNA", at positions 524 to 776 of the family's 1533-position model. The record is from RNAcentral.
UACGUAGGGCGCAAGCGUUGUCCGGAAUUAUUGGGCGUAAAGAGCUCGUAGGCGGUUUGUCACGUCGGAUGUGAAAGCCCGGGGCUUAACCCCGGGUCUGCAUUCGAUACGGGCAGACUGGAGUGUGGUAGGGGAGAUCGGAAUUCCUGGUGUAGCGGUGAAAUGCGCAGAUAUCAGGAGGAACACCGGUGGCGAAGGCGGAUCUCUGGGCCAUUACUGACGCUGAGGAGCGAAAGCGUGGGGAGCAAACAGG